AUUGAACGCUGGCGGAAUGCUUUACACAUGCAAGUCGAGCGGCAGCGCGGGGGCAACCCUGGCGGCGAGCGGCGAACGGGUGAGUAACAUAUCGGAACGUAUCCUAAAGUGGGGGAUAACACAGCGAAAGCUGUGCUAAUACCGCAUACGACCUGAGGGUGAAAGCGGGGGAUCGCAAGACCUCGCGCGAUGGGAGCGGCCGAUAUCGGAUUAGCUUGUUGGUGAGGUAAAGGCUCACCAAGGCGACGAUCCGUAGCUGGUCUGAGAGGACGACCAGCCACACUGGGACUGAGACACGGCCCAGACUCCUACGGGAGGCAGCAGUGGGGAAUUUUGGACAAUGGGCGGAAGCCUGAUCCAGCCAUGCCGCGUGAGUGAAGAAGGCC
Molecule: ribosomal RNA, 386 nt
Filed under: uncultured bacterium
Lineage: Bacteria
Description: bacterial SSU rRNA
Rfam family: Bacterial small subunit ribosomal RNA
Source: RNAcentral